GACGAACGCUGGCGGUGUGCUUAACACAUGCAAGUCGAACGGAAAGACCCUGUUUUCUUGCUGUGCUCGAGUGGCGAACGGGUGCGUAACACGUGAGUAACCUGCCCUGGACUUUGGGAUAACUUCAGGUAACUGGGCCUAAUCCCGUAUAGGAGCCCCUGCUGCAGGGUGGGGGUUGGAAAGUUUCGGCGGGUGGGGAUGGACUCGCGGCUUAUCAGCUUGUUGGUGGGGUAGUGGCUUACCAAGGCUUUGGCGGGUAGCCGGCCUGAGAGGGUGACCGGCCACAUUGGGACUGAGAUACGGCCCAGACUCCUACGGGAGGCAGCAGUGGGGAAUAUUGCACAAUGGGCGGAAGCCUGAUGCAGCAACGCCGCGUGCGGGAUGACGGCCUUCGGGUUGUAAACCGCUUUCGCCUGUGACGAAGCGUGAGUGACGGUAAUGGGUAAAGAAGCACCGGCUAACUACGUG
This 468-nucleotide ribosomal RNA is filed under the name uncultured bacterium. RNAcentral's name for it is "partial 16S ribosomal RNA". It matches the Rfam family "Bacterial small subunit ribosomal RNA", at positions 28 to 507 of the family's 1533-position model. The record is from RNAcentral.